CCUACGGGAGGCAGCAGUGGGGAAUAUUGCUCAAUGGGGGAAACCCUGAUGCAGCAACGCCGCGUGGGUGAUGAAGGUUUUCGGAUUGUAAACCUCUUUCGUCAGGGAAGAUAAAGACCGUUACCUGCCUAAAAAGCCCCGGCUAACUACGGGCCAGCAGCCGCGGUAAUACGUAGGGGGCAGGCGUACUCCGGAUUUACUGGGGGAAAAGGGCGCGUAGACGGGUGUGCAAGUCUGAGGUGAAAGCCCGUGGCUUAACCGUGGAACUGCUUUGGAAACUGUAUAUCUAGAGUAUGGGAGAGGUAGGUGGAAUUCUUGGUGUAGGGGUGAAAUGCGUAGAGAUCAAGAGGAAUACUAGUUGCGAAGGCGGCCUGCUGGA
This 379-nucleotide ribosomal RNA is filed under the name uncultured bacterium. Its description in RNAcentral is "partial 16S ribosomal RNA". It matches the Rfam family "Bacterial small subunit ribosomal RNA", at positions 338 to 733 of the family's 1533-position model. The record is from RNAcentral.